GAACUGCGAUAAGUAAUGUGAAUUGCAGAAUUCAGUGAAUCAUCGAGUCUUUGAACGCACAUUGCGCCCCCUGGCAUUCCGGGGGGCAUGCCUGUCCGAGCGUCAUUGCUGCCCUUCAAGCCCGGCUUGUGUGUUGGGUCGUCGUCCCCUCCGGGGGACGGGCCCGAAAGGCAGCGGCGGCACCUCGUCCGGUCCUCGAGCGUAUGGGGCUUUGUCACCCGCUCGAUAAGGACCGGCCGGGCGCCAGCCGGCGUCUCCAACCUUUUUUUCUCAGGUUGACCUCGGAUCAGGUAGGGAUACCCGCUGAACUUAAGC
This 315-nucleotide unclassified non-coding RNA is filed under the name plant metagenome. RNAcentral describes it as "partial contains 5.8S ribosomal RNA, internal transcribed spacer 2, and large subunit ribosomal RNA". The stretch from base 1 to 105 matches the Rfam family "5.8S ribosomal RNA", at positions 50 to 154 of the family's 154-position model. The record is from RNAcentral.